This 23-nucleotide microRNA is filed under the name Mus musculus (house mouse). RNAcentral's name for it is "mmu-miR-3089-3p". Lineage: Eukaryota; Metazoa; Chordata; Mammalia; Rodentia; Muridae. The record is from miRBase by way of RNAcentral.
AGCAUCUGCUGAUCCUGAGCUGU